Molecule: small RNA, 28 nt
Filed under: Bombyx mori (domestic silkworm)
Lineage: Eukaryota; Metazoa; Arthropoda; Insecta; Lepidoptera; Bombycidae
Description: ovarian small RNA-31698
Source: RNAcentral
UGACGACAAAGUUGUGGUAUUGUCAAGU